UAGUAAACAAAAUGUAUAUCUUGAAAAUAUAAAUAAAGAACCAUAAAAUUUCUAUUUACUUU
This 62-nucleotide transfer RNA is filed under the name Aposthonia borneensis. Its description in RNAcentral is "tRNA-Ser". Lineage: Eukaryota; Metazoa; Arthropoda; Insecta; Embioptera; Oligotomidae. The record is from RNAcentral.